Molecule: long non-coding RNA, 451 nt
Filed under: Ananas comosus (pineapple)
Lineage: Eukaryota; Viridiplantae; Streptophyta; Magnoliopsida; Poales; Bromeliaceae
Description: long non-coding RNA (ACOM_LNC043881)
Source: RNAcentral
UGCUAGAGAGAGAAGAAGGAGAAGAAGAGGAAGGAGAAGAAGAGGAGAAGGAUCUAGCUUGGGCUUGGAGCAUCCCUUUGCCUUUCUUCCUCUUCCCACCUUGUUGGUGCUUGAAGGCUUGGACUUGGAGCUUGCAAAGGAGAAGAUCUUCACCCUUUGAGCUUGGAUUGGAGCUUCUUAGAGGUUGGUAGCCCUUUUUCUCCGUCUAGACCUUGGAUUUGAGAUUUUAUUGUAUUGGAAUCCUAGAAUGAGGUUUUAGGGUUGAUUUUGGGGCUUUUUGAUCUAGGGCUUUUGAGGCUAGAUUGAUUGGAUUAGAACCUUCCUUGGGCUUGGAUUGGAAGGGUUCUAGCUCUCUUUUAGAGCUUUGGAAGAGAUUUCUUCUCUUGAGGUGAGUUUUAGCCCUUUUGUUAGGUUGUUAAAGUUUGACCUUAUAGAUUGAUCGUAAUGCCCG